AAUCGUUGAUCAGCCUCAUAAUCAGUCAAAAACUUCUUUUGAGUAUAACCGCAUAGGUUCGAACCUAAGUCAAUAGCACAAAAAUAACUUUUUGAAUCAAUCAAUGUAACCAUCUAGCAAUGGUGACUCGACGUCUGGAUAGGUCGAAUGAAGGCAAAGCAACAUUCAAGAACCUAUUGACGUAUGGUUACCGUAUAAUUCAUCCCUUUGACC
This 213-nucleotide long non-coding RNA is filed under the name Elaeis guineensis (African oil palm). RNAcentral describes it as "long non-coding RNA (EGUI_LNC009487)". The record is from RNAcentral. Lineage: Eukaryota; Viridiplantae; Streptophyta; Magnoliopsida; Arecales; Arecaceae.